RNAcentral lists this ribosomal RNA (673 nucleotides) under Umbelopsis heterosporus. Its description in RNAcentral is "Umbelopsis sp. JB-2019 partial large subunit ribosomal RNA". It matches the Rfam family "Eukaryotic large subunit ribosomal RNA", at positions 56 to 651 of the family's 3401-position model. Lineage: Eukaryota; Fungi; Mucoromycota; Umbelopsidomycetes; Umbelopsidales; Umbelopsidaceae. The record is from RNAcentral.
AGAAAGAAACUAACAAGGAUUCCCUCAGUAACGGCGAGUGAAGCGGGAAGAGCUCAAAUUUAAAAUCUGGUUUGCUUGCAAGCCCGAGUUGUAGUCUGAAGAAACGUUUUCCAUAAGCACUGAGGCAAAAGUCCCUUGGAACAGGGCAUCAUAGAGGGUGAGAAUCCCGUCCAUGGYCUCAAGUUGUUUAUUUUGUGAUACGUUUUCAAAGAGUCAGGUUGUUUGGGAAUGCAGCCUAAAAUGGGUGGUAAAUUUCAUCUAAAGCUAAAUAUUGGCGAGAGACCGAUAGCGAACAAGUACCGUGAGGGAAAGAUGAAAAGAACUUUGAAAAGAGAGUUAAACAGUACGUGAAAUUGUUGAAAGGGAACCGUUUGAAGCCAGUCUUACUUGCCUGUGAUCAAUUUUUGCYUCGGCAUGAAUGCACUCUYGGGUAUGGUAGGCCAACGACAGUUUGGAAUGCGAGAAAAAAAUAGAGGAAAUGUGGCCUUCGGGUGUUAUAGUCCUCUAUAAAAUAUCGUGUUCUGGACUGAGGAUCGCAGCAAAAAUGUGGGCAGGUGGAUUUCUGUGGUAACUGUCGGUUAGGACAACUUGUUGACCUAGUCUUCCUUAGCCUCACUAUUUACCUCGCUUCUAAUUUGCUUAGGUCGUUGGCAUAAUGGCUUUAAACGACCGA